Molecule: long non-coding RNA, 2909 nt
Filed under: Sus scrofa (pig)
Lineage: Eukaryota; Metazoa; Chordata; Mammalia; Artiodactyla; Suidae
Description: lncRNA (ENSSSCG00035023243.1)
Source: RNAcentral
GGAGGUACAUUUGGCUUUCUCUGGUUGGUCCCAGAUUGGACCUAGGGGGAAAAAUUAGAGCAGCUACCAGUUAUUAAUCAGUUAUUAAUCAACAGUUGGGGCCAAUUGUUGCAAGGGUUAUUGUUUGGCUUGAUGAACCAGUUCCUAGAGAUAGCAGUCUGAAUUCCUGCAUGUCUGACUUACAGCACGCUGGCUUUAAGAGAUGGGGUUGGAGUCCUGUACAGAUUCCUACAGUUUGGGGGUCAGAGUUCCAUUUUCAUAUAUGUUCUGUCCAUUGUUCGUUUAUAUUCAGGAUCUCAACAUUCAUCAUCAAGGCGACCUCAUGGCCCCAAUGUGGCUGCAGUAGAUACAGCCAUUGUGACCACAUUCCAAGCAGAAGAAAAGUAAGAGGAAGGGCAAAGAGUAGGCCUCCCAGGUGAGUCCUACGACUUUUUGUUGUGGGGUUCCUCCAAAUUCAUUCCUUUAGAUCUUUCCAAUCCUCCCUACCAUCAAGGAGACAAGGAAAUGUGAUUGUUUACUGGGUCCGAGGGUGCGCCCCAAAAAGGAGACCUUCUGUUAAAGGGAAAGAAGAGAGAAUCGAUAUGGAGCAGGCCAUCAGCAACCUCUUUCAUACUCCCAGCUUGAAAAAAAAAAUGGGAGAAUAAACCCAUCUAUAAAAACAUUUAUGAAAAGUACAUCGCAGGUGCAGUCUUGAAUUCCUUGUUCAGUGUGAAAUGUUUGUUUUACGACGGUUAUUUUAUGUUAAUUAAGAGCUGAUUGAUCAGAACCCUUCUCAGUCAAGGUUAUAGGCUCCCCAGGGCAUCAUCAAAUCCCCCCCCACCCCCGCCGCCUCCAGGGCCCUGAAGCAGAGACGGAGGAACCGUCCGAAUACACCGACAGGAACACAAAUUGAAAACUGCUCAACUGAAACGAAUUACUUCAAAGAAACCAUAAAUCCAGGGAAUUGGUCAUUUGGCAAAUUGGCUCCUCAGAGAACUAGCUUUUUGUGGCAAUCGCCUGCGAGAGCAGAGAGUUCAAGCAAAGGCGCACAUUAUGAUGGGGGAGCGGGUCGGGGCGGGGGGGACCCCUGGGCGGCUUCCCGCGGCCGGGAGCAUCCUCCCCGCGCUGGUGGAGGGAGGGCCCAAGGGCUGGAAGAUUAAAGCGCUGCAGUCGCCCCUUGGCAGUGCGUGCCUUAGGUCCUCUGGUAACGAGGACACGAAACUCGGUCUGCAAACUCUCUGAGUUCAGGAGAGGCCAGAUUCUGCAGAGAGGCCAGAAAACAAGCCCCCAGUACACGGGAGAUCGAGGGGGCUUCUAAGACAGGGCCCUUUGGCAGCCGGGGAAGCUGCACAGGGAAACCCUCCUCCAGGAGGGAAGGGGCCAGAUCAGGGGGCUUCACAGGCUUCUCGGCAACCCCUGGUGGGGCUGCCCCCCAGCUUCCUCCCAGGUUCUUGGAAACGCAGCUGCCAUCAUGCGCAUUUCCCUCCCCUGCAAAGGGUCUGGAUGCAGCAAAUACACACAUGCACACACUCACAGGCACACACCCCCAGGCACACAUGUGCACACACAGGCAUACACGUGCACAUGCCCCAGGCGCGCACGCACGCGCACACACACACACACACUCCACUCCACCUGCCUCCGGGGUUCCACUGUCUCCGCUGCGAGGGGUGGACCAGAAGAAGCUUUUUUCCGCUUGGCUCCAUGUGGCUGGGGCCUCACUUUCCUUGGCAGUGGCCCCAUCCGCACUGCCUGCCCCUCCCAAGUGAGGGGCCGCUUCCCACCUGCCUCGGGGACACGCAGGGUCCUUCUGCCACCAAGUCCCCCACAAAAAAAAAAAAAAUGUUUUCAAUUCCUCCUCGGAAAUUUGUUCUUCUGGCAUCCCCACAGUGGGGAAAGGACCCGACUGCAGUGGCCGGGUCACCGUGGAGGUACAGGUUCCAUCCCCGACCCAGCACAGGGGGUUAAAGGAUCCAGCGUUGCCGCAGCUGCGGUGCAGGCCACAGCUUCACCGAGGAUUCACCCCCCGGCCCGGGAACUUCCAUGUGCCCCCCGUGCGGCCAGGACAUACAUAAAUAGAGAGAUGAUGCCUUGUUUUCCCUCAACAGAGUGCUCAUGACUAAAACGCAAAAUGAGAAGAAGGAGGAAACCGCGAGCGGUGACUUGCAACCUACAAGGAAAAAACGGAGGUGUCUUCUCAUCCCGGGAGUCAGGGACGGGGGGAGUUUUGCCUGCUCCUGCUUCAAUGGGAGAGCUGGAAGCAAAGCAGUAUUACUAUUUAGAAGGGAGAAAUAGGAAAUUACUGGGUUUUCACCUUAAAAUGGUAGAGAAAAAAUCUUGCCGAGUUCAUGCCUAUUGACAGUUUCCUGGGACCUGGUCCUUGAUCCCAUCUGACCGCACCUGACCAGAGGGAGCUUCGGGAGGAAGCGAGCUGAUGGCCCACCUUUCUUGGCACAUCCCGGGGCGAUUUCAUGAGGAAACUGCCGACUCAGAAUGAGAAGGGACCUCGGGGAGGCGGUAAGGAGGGCGCCGGGUGGAAGGCAGCCAGGACGUGGCCUUCCCAACCCCAGGCCGGUCCUGGGCCAGUGACCUCCCUGGACCAGCAGGGAUGGGGGGCUUUGCCUGGGGAGCCAAAGAACCAGAUUCAAAACCCGCACCGGGAAUUCCCGUCGUGGCGCUGUGGUUAACGAACCCAACUAGGAACCAUGAGGUUGCGGGUUCGAUCCCUGCCCUUGCUCAGUGGGUUAAGGAUCCGGCGUUGCCGUGAGCUGUGGUGUAGGUUGCAGACGCGGCUCGGAUCCUGUGUUGCUGUGUCUCUGGCACAGGCUGGCAGCUACAGCUCCAACUAGACCCCUAGCCUGGGAACCUCCAUAUGCCAUGGGAGCGGCCCAAGAAAUGGCAAAACGACGAAAAAAAAAAAAAAAAAAAAA